GACGAACGCUGGCGGCGUGCUUAACACAUGCAAGUCGAGCGGUAAGGCCCUUUCGGGGGUACGACGAGCGGCGAACGGGUGAGUAACACGUGGGUGACCUGCCCUCAGCUCUGGGAUAAGCCCGGGAAACUGGGUCUAAUACCGGAUAUGACUCCAUGACGCAUGUUGUGGGGUGGAAAGCCUUGUGCGGCUGAGGAUGGGCCCGCGGCCUAUCAGCUUGUUGGUGGGGUGAUGGCCACCAAGGCGACGACGGGUAGCCGGCCUGAGAGGGCGACCGGCCACACUGGGACUGAGAUACGGCCCAGACUCCACGGGAGGCAGCAGUGGGGAAUCUUGCGCAAUGGGCGAAAGCCUGACGCAGCGACGCCGCGUGAGGGAUGACGGCCU
RNAcentral lists this ribosomal RNA (387 nucleotides) under uncultured bacterium. Its description in RNAcentral is "bacterial SSU rRNA". It matches the Rfam family "Bacterial small subunit ribosomal RNA", at positions 28 to 417 of the family's 1533-position model. The record is from RNAcentral.